This is a long non-coding RNA of Brachypodium distachyon (stiff brome), 870 nucleotides long. RefSeq lists it as uncharacterized. The transcript has 3 exons. Lineage: Eukaryota; Viridiplantae; Streptophyta; Magnoliopsida; Poales; Poaceae. The record is from RefSeq and is a predicted model, not a curated record.
CUGCUUUUCACAUAACCCCCUCCUUUUUGCCGAUCACGAAACUCCCUGGCUCUUCGCCUCCUCCAUGGUCGCUUCGUGUUCGAUCUGACGAUAGCGCCACCGGCCAUGAGCCCUCGCCGUCCGCCGGACGUGAAGGAGACCCUCCCUUCAGACCAUGCGUCGCCACCGGCCCUUGUGCUCGACGGCCUCGCAGUUCCGUCCCCUCCCAUGCCCCAUCCUCCUCAUAACCCUGCACUGGUUUUGUGGAAGCUCUAGAGGUUUGUUUCGUGAAAUACAAGAAGUUCAUGUGUAGCAUGAUUCUUACUUCAUGUGUGCCUAUUUUGUUUACCAAACUAAGUGAUGUAUGCAAUUUGACAAUAUCCUGAAACUGAGUGAAUGUUCAUACUGAAUAUUCUAGCCAUGCAAUGUCCUGAAAUAUUGCAAUUCAACUCAGCAGAUUUCUGCAACAAAUAAAAAUUACACCAUCUGAGUGCUGCCAGAAUUUCAAUGUUUGUGUUGCGUUUAACAAUCUCAUGAUUUUCAUAUCUGAAUGCUUUCAGAACACCAUUUCAAUUGAGUAUAUUUCAGGUAAGAUAGUAGACAUGCAACAGGAACUUGGUUCCAUUGAUUUCUUUUCAAUCUAGAAACAUCAUGCAUUUUAAUAGAUCACCAGACACAAUGCUUGAGCACACAGGUGGUAUAUUCUUCGAUAAUCAGCUUCAGGAUACACACAUUGUCAUCGGAACGACUUCAGAAGGCGCUGCAGAAUCAAGCUUCGACGGAGAAGCCUCCGAAGCCAUCGCGUGGGGGCUGCGCCCUGGCCGUCGAGUCAGCGUCGCAGAGACGCCGUCGCGCCGGGGCAGCGCAGCAGCUGCCGAGUCUCCGUCGCAG